GCCGGGCAUGGUGGCGCGUGCCUGUAAUCCCAGCUACUCAGGAGGCUGAGGCAGAAGAAUCGCUUGAACCCGGGAGGCGGAGGUUGCAGUGAGCCGAGAUCUUGCCACUGCACUACAGCCUGGGUGACAGAGCGAGACUCUGUCUGGG
Unclassified non-coding RNA from Macaca mulatta (Rhesus monkey), 148 nucleotides. It matches the Rfam family "Metazoan signal recognition particle RNA". From Rfam's summary of the family: The signal recognition particle (SRP) is a universally conserved ribonucleoprotein. It is involved in the co-translational targeting of proteins to membranes. Lineage: Eukaryota; Metazoa; Chordata; Mammalia; Primates; Cercopithecidae. The record is from Ensembl.